Molecule: transfer RNA, 74 nt
Filed under: Candidatus Omnitrophota bacterium
Lineage: Bacteria; Pseudomonadati; Candidatus Omnitrophota
Description: tRNA-Arg
Rfam family: tRNA
About the family: Transfer RNA (tRNA) molecules are approximately 80 nucleotides in length. Their secondary structure includes four short double-helical elements and three loops (D, anti-codon, and T loops).
Source: RNAcentral
GCGCCCGUAGCUCAAUUGGAUAGAGCAUCUGUCUACGGAACAGAAGGUUACAUGUUCGAGUCAUGUCGGGCGCG